RNAcentral lists this transfer RNA (62 nucleotides) under Scutogyrus longicornis. RNAcentral describes it as "tRNA-Gln". Lineage: Eukaryota; Metazoa; Platyhelminthes; Monogenea; Dactylogyridea; Ancyrocephalidae. The record is from RNAcentral.
UGUGGUAAGGUGUUUUGCACGUUGUGUUUUGAUCACAGAGGGGAUUUUAGUUUCUACUACUU